GCAAAAUGAAGACACAAGUUGGAGAAACACGACUGCAGCAAAAUGAAUACAAAGGGUUUGUUUCUUCUGCUGGUAGUAGCUAUACUGCUUUUCAUUUCCACAGGUUCGAAUGCAUCUCCGGCUCCGAAGCCUCAUUACUGGUGGAGAAAUCCCGCCUACGGACCACGUUACCCUUUCCAGUCACGGGGACAUCAUGAUGGCCCAGGACAACGCCUUUGCGGCUCAACUAGGGCAACAGUGACUUCAACAUCCGCUGAACCAGGGUCUUCGACAGUCGCAACCGUCGCAAUUACUGCUCCUACGGCCACUUCUCUCCCCCCUACUGUUUCAGUUUCUCCAUGAGGACGGUAAUUGGACCGAAAUGAGUUUCGCGUUAUGCCAUCACCACCUGAAGCUCUUCACCUACGCUGAGAAACAUUGACCUGAGAAGAGGCGAAACCCCGUUUCAACAACUACAGAGAUAUACAUUUCGAAAAUAUGUAGUACGUAUUACUUAAUAAAGGAGAAUACACUGUCAGUUAUGUAAUAAUAAAUCAUCCAGUUAUGCAUUACGUA
Cryptotermes secundus is the source of this 555-nucleotide long non-coding RNA. RefSeq lists it as uncharacterized. The record is from RefSeq and is a predicted model, not a curated record. The transcript is spliced from 3 exons. Lineage: Eukaryota; Metazoa; Arthropoda; Insecta; Blattodea; Kalotermitidae.